GGGCAACAUUACCUUGGCCAAAAUCUUUUUACUUAUCUGGGAGAUAGCCUCCUUAUUUGUAAGUUUUUGAGAAGGCUGGGAAGAUUUGGACUAGAUGAUUGUCAUUUGCAGAUAUCACCCAGAA
This 124-nucleotide long non-coding RNA is filed under the name Monodelphis domestica (gray short-tailed opossum). RNAcentral describes it as "lncRNA (ENSMODG00000038444.1)". Lineage: Eukaryota; Metazoa; Chordata; Mammalia; Didelphimorphia; Didelphidae. The record is from RNAcentral.